Molecule: ribosomal RNA, 2757 nt
Filed under: Triticum aestivum (bread wheat)
Lineage: Eukaryota; Viridiplantae; Streptophyta; Magnoliopsida; Poales; Poaceae
Description: partial small subunit ribosomal RNA
Source: RNAcentral
AUGAAGAAAGUGUUCGACCAGACUGUCCGGGACCUGAAACGCGGGGUGAAUAAAAAGGUCCUCAAGGUGCCUGGCACGGAACAGAAGAUACUUGAUGCCACAAGCAAUGAGCCAUGGGGCCCGCAUGGAUCCCUCCUGGCGGAGAUCGCCCAAGCAACACAUAACUAUCAUGAGUAUCAGAUGAUAAUGAAUAUCGUGUGGAAGAGGGUCAGUGAUACUGGUAAAAAUUGGCGGCAUGUGUACAAGGGAUUGAUUGUCCUGGAUUACCUGGUAGCACAUGGAACCGAGCGAGUUAUUGAUGACAUAAGGGAGCAUUCUUAUCAGAUAUCGGCACUAGCUGACUUCCAGUAUAUCGAUUCUAGUGGGAGAGAUCAAGGUAGCAAUGUCCGACGGAAAUCCCAGAGCCUCGUUAGUUUAGUUAAUGAUAAGGAAAGGAUACUGGAAGUUAGGCAGAAAGCACUUGCUACCAGAGACAAGUAUCGGAGUGCAUUUGCCACAAGUGGACCACACAGGAGUCCGGGUGGAUAUGACAAUGACCGCGAUCGCUACGAAGGAGGUAGAUAUGAUAACAGGAAUGGCUAUGGGAGGGAACGAGACGGAUAUAGAGAUGAUGACAGAUACAGUGGCGCUGGAGAUACACCCAAUAGGGAUGGAGAUCGUUAUUCUAGGGAUUCUAAUGAACGCAACAGGGAAGAUGAAUACAACAGAGGAAGUAAUAGCAACCCUGAGUAUGCAGAAGGAUCAGGCCGUAGGAGCUACGGGGAUGAGGAGGCUUAUUCAUCCCGUGGUCGUGGCAGCAACGCUGAUGCACCUACUCAGGAUGAGAGGCCUAUUGAGCGGAAGGCUUCUAACCAGCAGAUUGCUUCACCACCAAGCUACGAAGAUGUUGCAGGAGAUACCCAGGACAACCAUCAUGAUGAAAGAAAUGGAGCGAGUGUGCCUGCUGCACCAAAGGCAUCUUCUCCCUCUGUACCUAGAACAAGCUUUCCCCCAGCCCCAGGGCAGGUGAAUGGUGUUCAUGAUAAGCCUGUCGAGGUUGUAGCUCCACAACCACCUGCUCCUGCUGCACAACCACCUGCUCCUGCUGAACCGAAUGGUUUUGAUGAGUUUGAUCCACGUGGAUCAGUACCAGAUGCUUCACCUCCGGUGAAUACCUCACCGAUAAUGAACAGCUUUGAGAUGGAUUUGUUUGGGUCAGAUCCUAUUGGUGCGCUGGCUUUGGUUUCUGUUCCUCAGCCGACUGACGUCCCAAGUGUCGAGCCAUCAGCAAGUUCAGGUUUUGAAACGGAUAGUUUUAUGGGCAUGCCACCUGCUUCUACCGGGUUCAGUGAGGCAAUUGAUGCUUCAAAUCCUUUUGGAGAUCCUACUCCUUUCAAGGCAGUUCAAGAAGAGAAUCAUGCACCUUCUCAGACAAAUGCGACCCCGGCUGGUUCAUUCCAGGCCACAGGAGCUGGUGCAGAUGUAAAUCCUUUCCAGCCUGCUUCAUCCACUAGCUUUGGUUUUGAAGAUACUCUCGGCGAUCUCAGUUUUGCAUCCAAUGCCGCACCUGGACAACAGGAUAUUUUUGGAAGCACCACCUCCUUACCUUCGGGGGUUUCACAUGCAAAUCCGUCCCAACAGGCACCCCCUGCUUAUGUUCCCUCCCAGGCAUCUCAGCCUAUCACUCAUGCUGCUCCCAUGUUUGCUCAGCCACAAGCAUAUCCUGCAGCCACGAACCCAUCAUCAUUUUCUCAGGCUGCUGCGCCAUCAUUUGCUCCUCCACAGCUACCUCAACAUGCUGCACCAUCAUUUGCUCCUCCACAGGCACCUCAACAUGCAGCUCCCAAUCUACCAUCAGGCCCAUCAAACUUUUAUAUGCAACCGGCUUCACAGAAUGGAGCACCACCAUCCUAUGUUCCUCCACAGUCUUCUCAUCUUCCACCUCAACAUGCACCUCAGCAAAGCUUCCUCCUACAAACUGCCGCACCAGCACCACAGGCACCAUCAAUUUCUCGAGGGGCAUCUCAGCCUUUUGGUGCUCCAAAUUCAGUGCCAUCUGGUGCCAGCACUCCUCUGCAGUCAAGUUUAUCAGCUCCCCCAGAAACACUAAUUUCAGCUUUGCAAGUUAGUCAGACCCAGCCAGUGAAGAAAUUUGAGCCCAAAUCCACAGUUUGGUCUGAUACAUUGACCCGGGGUCUUGUCGAUUUCAACAUUUCUGGCGCAAAAACCAAUCCACAUGCAGAUAUUGGAGUGGACUUUGAUUCAAUCAACCGCAAGGAUAAAAGGCAAGAUAAGAAGAUCUCUCAAGCACCUGUAGUAUCUACGAUCACCAUGGGCAAGGCAAUGGGAUCUGGCUCUGGCAUUGGUCGAGCUGGUGCGAGUGCCGUUGCACCCCCUCCCAACCCAAUGGGUGCCGGGCGGGGUGUCGGUAUUGGUGGUCCUGGUUAUGGUGGCGGAAUGGGAAUGAACCGACCAAUGGGGAUGGGAAUGGGAAUGAACCAACAACCCAUGGGAAUGGGGAUGGGGAUGGGCCAGCAACCGAUGGGGAUGAACCAACAACAGAUGGGAAUGGGCAUGGGGAUGAACCAACAACAGAUGGGAAUGGGAAUGGGGAUGAACCAACAACAGAUGGGAAUGGGGAUGGGGAUGGGCAUGAACCAGGGGAUGGGGAUGCGGCCUCCUCAGAUGGGGAUGGCUCCCGGCGGCAUGCCGGGCGCUGGCUACAACCAGAUGGGCGCUGGAUAUGGCGGGCAGCAGCCAUACGGCGGGUACAGGUGA